UACGGAGGAUGCGAGCGUUAUCCGGAUUUAUUGGGUUUAAAGGGUGCGUAGGCGGUUUUUUAAGUUAGUGGUUAAACGUCGGGGCUUCACCUUGAUUUGCCAUUAAUACUGUAAGACUCGAGUUCAGACGAGGUAGGCGGAAUAAGUUAAGUAGCGGUGAAAUGCUUAGAUAUCACGAAGAACCCCGAUUGCGAAGGCAGCCUGCCGCAGCGUUACUGACGCUGAAGCUCGAAAGCGCGGGUAUCGAACAGG
Molecule: ribosomal RNA, 252 nt
Filed under: uncultured Odoribacter sp.
Lineage: Bacteria; Pseudomonadati; Bacteroidota; Bacteroidia; Bacteroidales; Odoribacteraceae
Description: partial 16S ribosomal RNA
Rfam family: Bacterial small subunit ribosomal RNA
Source: RNAcentral